UCAGGGAAAAUGGCCCGAGCCCCAUAAAAUAUCACAAGAUCAUCAUCGGGAUAACAUCAUCGUAUCAUAAAUAUUCACAUCAUGUUCAUUGAUUAAAGUAAAGCAAUAGCAUGAAGCUAACCAUAGUAACCCAAAAGGUAAUCAAGGACAAGGUAAAUACAAAGCUAGUCAAUCCUUAGGUUUCAAUUAAGUAAUGUGGGAUAGUGAAUUAUAAGUAGAUAGGACAUAAUGGGUCAGAGGACACUUGCCUUCACCAAACAGAUGCUCUGGAUCUUCAACCUUGUAGAACUUGAAGAACCUGACCACUUGGACACCAACGCUUGGCUGUCGAUUUCCUCGAAGCUCGGAAACGAAUCGCGAUCUAUUCGCAACGCGUAGCAAAUACAAACAGGAACAAACAACCAAACAUAUAUAUACGCAUAAGAAAAUUACACCAUACAAGAUAAAAUGUAAUAAAACAUGUAAGAAGAAAAGGAACGUGUUACUACGGUGACGCGAGGAAAAAGAAACGCGACAAUCGAAGCUACGGUCGAGAAGUUAUCGCGUUUACGUUAAACAAAUAUUAACUAUAACAUUUAAUUCAACAUUAUCAAAUAUAAAUAAUAUCUACCAUUUAGUUUCGCUUAACCUAUUACACUAACCACUAUCAGUUAAACCAGUAAUUUAAUUAAAGCGAGAGAUUUUAAGCGAGAUGAUUUUAUGACGCAUGAAACAGCACGAUAUCGUGCAAACGACACACGGACACACGCGACAUAGCACGCUUACGACACACGAAACAGCACGUGCGACGAGCGCGAACGAGCACACCAUCACGUGCGGAACAGCAUGCGCGACAGGCGGGAACAUGUUAAAUAGAGGACAUGUUUACACUAAACAAAUAUUAAAUAAAUAAAAAGUAUUUAAGUUAACAUUAACCAUGGUAAUGUUUAUUAUCCAAGCACAAGUCGAAAAAUAUACAUAAUCAAAUUGGAAUAUUAAUCUAAUCAACAUUAGUCGAGCAAACAUUAAAUAAAUUAUUUAAAAUAUGUGACCCGACAGAUUAACGUUAUUAACAUGAGUGUUCGUAAGCGAAAACAAUUUAUUAUCACGCGCAGACGCCGCGCGACACACGUGGUCGACACGCGGCACUAUACAAAACAGCGCGUGGACGGCACGCGAAACAACGCGCACGACGGUGCGCGUCACGCAAACAGCACGCGACCCGCGAAAAUAGUUUAUACUACACAUAUAUUAAAUGCAACACUUAAGUUGGCAUAACCACAAUUAGAGGUAUUUAUCGCAUGCAUCGAUAGAAUUAACACUUAGUUCUGAUUGAUUUACUACUCGGUUAGCCAUCGUUUAAUUACGUAAAUUAAUUAACGUGAGUGAUUCUAGGCGAAACAGUUUAUUGUUGUGCGACACGGCGCACAACUCACUAAACAAGGUGCGCGGAACGGCACACGCGACAACGCGUGUCAACACAUGUGAAUGACACACACGGUGACGCGUAAACGAUGUCGCGCGCGAACAACGAACAAAUAAUUAAUGACGAGUAUUUCAGUUGGUAUUAAUCACGUUAAUUAACAUUUAUAUUUAUAAAGCAUGAGUUAAAACUACCGACUCAUUCUACUUAAGUUGUUAUUUUAUUAACCCUCGAACAAACCAAUAAUUAAUUAUUCAACUGAAACAUGCGACACGACGACGAGCGCCACACGUGGGAACAGCGUGCGUGUCACGUGCGAAAGAGCACACGGGAAGCGCGCAUGGCCACAUGUGACCAUGUGCAAAAGACGCGAGACGAUGCGUGCGAACAGCACACGACAACGUGCGUGCCAGACGCGCGGCACGAACGUGCGAACGAACAAUGGCGACGCGCAAACAGCGCGCGAUUGAUACGCGAAACUAAAUAAACAUUGCAUUUAUAUUAAAUGAACAUUAGGGCAAAACGUUUGAGUUACUAUUAUUGCCAUGGAUUUAUAAAGCGUAAGUUAACUACUAUAAAUUAGUCUAAUCAAAAGGUCUAAUUAAUUAACGUUAGUUAAACAAAAGUGUAAUUAAUUAUUUAAAACGUGUGAUAUAGUGAAACAAAAUUACUAAUGCGUCGACGAUGCUCACCCGCGAUGACGGUGGACGACCGGACGAGCUCGCGGCGAAGCACGAGGACGACGAUGCUGCUGCUGCACCAGGGUCGUGCAAAGACGAGUCAGGGCUACGCAGAGGGCUGCGCAGGAGGAAGCGGGGGCAGC
RNAcentral lists this long non-coding RNA (2225 nucleotides) under Zea mays. RNAcentral's name for it is "long non-coding RNA (ZMAY_LNC003696)". The record is from RNAcentral. Lineage: Eukaryota; Viridiplantae; Streptophyta; Magnoliopsida; Poales; Poaceae.